Molecule: non-coding RNA, 265 nt
Organism: Drosophila virilis
Lineage: Eukaryota; Metazoa; Arthropoda; Insecta; Diptera; Drosophilidae
Source: RefSeq, a predicted model, not a curated record
UAUCCCUGAUCUUUGGUUUUAAUUGGAUAACCGGCAGUGCAGCAGUGCAGCGGCUGGCUGCUUGAUGCGCCACAAUGAUGAUGCCUGGGGAAUCUGCAUUCCAACCGGGCCUUUUUUAAAAAUUCAAUAAGCUAAGUUUAUGUAAUGUACCAUCCAAAAUUAUAAUAUUCCCUUAAAAUUGAUGUUAUUUUGAUCACCAACCAAAUUUGACUAGAAGUUCGAAGUUUGUUUCCUCCUUGAAGAAAAUAGAAUAUUUUAUAUUCAA